GAUGAACGCUGGCGGCGUGCCUAAUACAUGCAAGUCGAGCGAACAGAUGAGGAGCUUGCUCCUCUGACGUUAGCGGCGGACGGGUGAGUAACACGUGGAUAACCUACCUAUAAGACUGGGAUAACUUCGGGAAACCGGAGCUAAUACCGGAUAAUAUAUUGAACCGCAUGGUUCAAUAGUGAAAGACGGUUUUGCUGUCACUUAUAGAUGGAUCCGCGCCGCAUUAGCUAGUUGGUAAGGUAACGGCUUACCAAGGAAACGGUGGUUAGCGGACCUGAGAGGGGGAUCGGCCCACGGGAACCUAAGCUGCGGCCCAGCCUCUACCGGAGGGAACAGUUGGGGAUUCUUCCGAAUGGGGGGAUACCUUGCCGAGGAAACUCGGCGUGAGUGAUAAAGGCCUGGGAACCGUAAACUCUGUUAUUAGGGAAGAACAAAUGUGUAAGUAACUAUGCACGUCUUGACGGUACCUAAUCAGAAAGCCACGGCUAACUACGUG
RNAcentral lists this ribosomal RNA (496 nucleotides) under uncultured bacterium. RNAcentral describes it as "partial 16S ribosomal RNA". It matches the Rfam family "Bacterial small subunit ribosomal RNA", at positions 28 to 507 of the family's 1533-position model. The record is from RNAcentral.